GAAUUCGCCCUUAGAGUUUGUUUCUGGCUCAGGAUGAACGCUGGCGGCGUGCCUAACACAUGCAAGUCGAACGGGUGUACGGGAUGGAAGGCUCCGGCCGGAAGCCCCGUGCAUGAGUGGCGGACGGGUGAGUAACGCGUGGGCAACCUGCCCUGUACAGGGGGACAACACUUAGAAAUAGGUGCUAAUACCGCAUAACGGGGGGAGCCGCAUGGCACCCCCCUGAAAACUCCGGUGGUACAGGAUGGGCCCGCGUCUGAUUAGCUAGUUGGCAGGGUAACGGCCUACCAAGGCGACGAUCAGUAGCCGGCCUGAGAGGGCGGACGGCCACACUGGGACUGAGACACGGCCCAGACUCCUACGGGAGGCAGCAGUGGGGGAUAUUGCACAAUGGGGGGAACCCUGAUGCAGCGACGCCGCGUGGGUGAAGGAGCGUUUCGGCGCGUAAAGCCCUAUCGGCAGGGAAGAAGGAGGACGGUACCUGACUAAGAAGCCCCGGCUAACUACGUGCCAGCAGCCGCGGUAAUACGUAGGGGGCAAGCGUUAUCCGGAUUUACUGGGUGUAAAGGGGGCGCAGACGGCAGCGCAAGCCAGGAGUGAAAGCCCGGGGCCCAACCCCGGGACUGCUCUUGGAACUGCGCGGCUGGAGUGCAGGAGGGGCAGGCGGAAUUCCUGGUGUAGCGGUGAAAUGCGUAGAUAUCAGGAGGAACACCGGUGGCGAAGGCGGCCUGCUGGACAGUAACUGACGCUGAGGCGCGAAAGCGUGGGGAGCAAACAGGAUUAGAUACCCUGGUAGUCCACGCCGUAAACGAUGGAUACUAGGUGUGGGGGGGACUGACCCCCUCCGUGCCGCAGCUAACGCAAUAAGUUAUCCCACCUGGGGAGUACGAUCGCAAGGUUGAAACUCAAAGGAAUUGACGGGGGCCCGCACAAGCGGUGGAGUAUGUGGUUUAAUUCGAAGCAACGCGAAGAACCUUACCAGGGCUUGGCAUCCUACUAACGAGGUAGAGAUACGUUAGGUGCCCUUCGGGGAAAGUAGAGACAGGUGGUGCAUGGUUGUCGUCAGCUCGUGUCGUGAGAUGUUGGGUUAAGUCCCGCAACGAGCGCAACCCUUAUUGUUAGUUGCUACGCAAGAGCACUCUAGCGAGACUGCCGUUGACAAAACGGAGGAAGGUGGGGACGACGUCAAAUCAUCAUGCCCCUUACGUCCUGGGCCACACACGUACUACAAUGGCGGCCAACAAAGAGAGGCGAGACCGCGAGGUGGAGCAAAUCUCAAAAAGCCGUCCCAGUUCGGAUCGCAGGCUGCAACCCGCCUGCGUGAAGUUGGAAUCGCUAGUAAUCGCGGAUCAGCAUGCCGCGGUGAAUACGUUCCCGGGCCUUGCACUCACCGCCCGUCA
This 1400-nucleotide ribosomal RNA is filed under the name uncultured bacterium. RNAcentral's name for it is "partial 16S ribosomal RNA". It matches the Rfam family "Bacterial small subunit ribosomal RNA". The record is from RNAcentral.